AUUGAUUGAUUGAUUUUAUUAGGAAAUCAUAAUACAAAUAUGCAGCAAUCCAAUACAAAAGCACAAUAAAAUAGAUGUAAUGUAAUGAAAUGAACAUUAGAACAUUGCUGAGUGUUAGGUAAUGUUCCAUCUUGCUAUUAAGACCUCUGUUCAAAUCUGGCUGAUGUUUUGUUUUUUUUAAUUGGAGUUGCGUGAGAGUUAGGAGGGCCAUAGCCAAAAUUCCUAAUUUUAAGUUUGGAAUAAUGACAAAAAUAAAAAUUGAAUAAAAAGAUCAUAAUUUUGAAAUUCAUAUAUUUCUCAUUGUCUUAAGCCUUUUACUCACUGCGUGCGACAGCAACGGGACGAGGAAUGCACACGAAGACGCGGAUCCAACGGAUUGUCUUUUUAAUGAGGAUCCGUUCAGAUUGCCACUAACAAUCGGCAGACAGCGUCGUCUAUCGCUCUCCGGAAGCAAAUGUGGAUUCCUUGUGCGACGGUCGUACGACGCAGUGAGUGUCCGGCUUUAUGAUUUGAUAAAUUUCCUAAUUUUGGUUGUUUACAGAAUCUCAUCAACAUGUUCAGGAUCUACAUCUCCUCUCAAGUCUUCCAAGGUUGUUUCAUCAUCUCCUUGUUACGGUGGCAUUAAACGAGGCUUGCGACACUCAGCAGCAACCAAUACUGCUUUAAAAAGCAGUGGCACAAGAACAAGUCCAAGAAUGCACCAUACUGCUCGUUCAGCAUUACGAUGACACUACACAAUGCCAGAUGCUAAGUUGAUUUCACCUAUUUAACAUGGUCUCAGCUGGUUGAUCUUGCGCACAUGUUUCUUCUGGUAUAUAAAGAUGUUUCAAGAUGUGAUUGAUUUAGGUGAAUAGUAACUAAUAAUGAUUAUCAAUUACCAAACACACAACAUUUAAUAAAUCAUUCAAUGUAGUGGUGGUUGUACCUUAGACUUAAUCUGGAAUUGAAUGUAUUGUUAAAGAUUUUAAAAUAUUGGACCAAGUAUUUUAAUUUGUUAUCAGAUUUUAUUCUAAACCAAAGAAAAUCCAGUGUAAAAUUUAAAUUGUGCAUAUCAGUUGUUGUGAUCAUAUAACUUUUUUUUUUCAUGAGAUUUGUUAACCUAUCAUAUUACAGUACAUUUAUUAUCAUUUAAUUCAUAAUUUAAUAUUUUAAAAUAAUGAACAAAUUUUAGUCAUUUUGUAUAGUAAAUAAUAGAAACUGUAUGUAAAAGCUAUGCUAAUCCAAAGAUCUCUUGGAAAAACUGUCUUUACAUAGUUCGAAAUUAUAUAUUGCAAACCUUUGUGCCUUCAAUUUGGUAAAUACAGUAAUGCAGUCCAGGAUUGUGGGUUUAACUUUUGUAAAUACAUUCUCAAGUUAUCUCUUAUAAUUAAUGUUCUUUGUAAAUUAAAAGAAGCACACACUUAUUUGGUAUAGUGUAUAUAUUUUGGUAUCAUUUUUUCUCAUGUGUCAAUUCAUUACACAUUUAUAAAUAAAAAGCACAAAUUUACUGGAUUGAUCUUUUACUAUUGUUGUGAUUACUAUUAUUCUAUUAUUAUUAUUAUUAUUAUUAUUAUUAUUAUUAUUAUUAUUAUUAUUCUUAUUGUGUAUUAUUACUAUACUGUACUCUCAUUUAUGUGAUUAUUAUUAAUUAUUAUUAUUGCUAUUGUUGUUAAUUAUUACUGCACUAUCAUUGUUGUAAUAUUUAAUAUUAUUGUUGUUACAAAGAGGUUUGUGGUACACUACACAUCAAUAGUUCUGUGAAGGACUGUUUUAAGCUUUACCUUUAUGUUGCUGUUAACACAGUUGAAAGUCUCUGUGCAGCCAGCUUUAUAAGAUUCAUAUUCGGAUCUGAAUACAAAUCUAAAUCUGAAGUGACCUGUUUGGUAGCCCAUUCAGUAACUACAUUAAUGUCACUUGCCCAUCCUCUUUUGAUCAAAAUUUUGGGCUUAAAAAUUUUGUUUUCCUUUGAUAUUUUAACUGGCCAUCCCAGAACACAACUUGAACACAACUUCACAUAAAAGGGGAUAACUAAUAAUUCAAUGACUUUAUUAUUACGUUCCAAAUUACAUAUUACAGUAACAAGUAGUGUACAUGUUAAGAUCUAUAUCUAUUUUAGUCAGUACUAGGCCUACUAGAGUUUUAAUGUUGUUAUCUUUAAACAUCUGAGCAAUACACUGUUAGUGUUAAUAAUACGGUGAGUUGUACUAGUCUACAAAGUAGAAAAGAAAAAAGAAGUUUAUUAACACAUGCUCAUGUGUACACAGUCCACUCUACAUGUUAAUGAAGGUAAACAGAAUUUGAGCUUUGGGAGGUUGGAUUACAAAAGGCUAUUGAAUCAGUAUAGUAAUGAUAAAAUAUUAUGUUGUAUUGAUUAUCUGUACCUGAGGCCCUAUAUCACAUUAUGUUCCGACCUCAGAUGUUGUGCAGUCCUGUAAGGUAGCACCUCCGUGGAGAAACUACUUUCCCUGGACCCAGGGGUGCUAGCUUACCAGAGGUUAAGUGUGUAUCAUUAUUUGCUAUUUUAUUUUUGUCGAUGUUAUUGUUAUAAAUAGGUUUGCUGUUGCUAUUCUUCCUCCUACUAGUACUUCUUCUCAUCCUUCUACUACUACUACCACCACCACUACCACUAUCUCUAUACUACUGCUACUGCUUGUUAUAAUUGUUUUUGUUAUUAUUUUUGUUACAACUAUUGUUAUUUUUAUUACUAUUAUUGAAUAUUAAUAAAAUAUUUAAAUUAAUAUUUAUACAAAUAUUAUGAAAUAAAAUCAAAAUCAAUUUUUUAAUGAUUAUAUACUAAUACUGCUACCACUACCAAUUUUUAUUUUUACCAUCAUUAUUGUUUCCACUUUGGUGUAAUCAUUGUUUUCUGAUAAAAAAAAAUAAAAAAAAAAAAAAGAAUAUUUGUAUUGUAGUGAAAAUUUUAUAUUUGAAUAUUAUCUAUGUACAGAAAAUAUUUUUGAGUGAAUAUUAUGUAGGUUAAUAGCAUUAACAUUUGUAAUAGCUUGUCUUGUAGUUUAAAUUUUUGGUCAGUAGAGAAGUGAUAAUCCCAUCAUGAACUUGCAUAUUCAUUAUCAGAAUUUUAUCAAUAAUUUGCAUGUUCAUAACCUGAAUUUUAUCAUCAGUGUAUAUAUUCAUUAAAUGGAUUCUAUAAAAAAAAUUUGCAUAUUCGCUGGAUUUUAUCAUACUUCUCAUUUGAUCAUUGAUUAUUUGCUUAUGAAUCUACUUGAAUUUUAUAAUUAACCUUUUUAUCCAAGUUUUAUUAUCAUUGAUUUUUUUUACCAAGAUUUUUCAUUUAGUAUUAUUUAUGAAAUGCUCCACAUUUGUUGAUAAAGCAUAUGUUGUGAUAUUAUUUAUUAAUCCUCCAAACUUGUUAAUGAAGCAUAUCAUUAUGUUGCGAUAUGGUUUUAUAUUGCUCCACACUUGUUGAUAAAGCAUACCAUUAUGUUGUGGUAUGGUUUAUUAAUGUUUAAUACUUGUUAAUAAAGCAUAUCUUUAAUGUUUAUUAAUGUUUGACGCUUGUUAAAAAAAUAAAACAAUAUCUUUAAAGAUGCAAUACACCAAAUAAUAACAAAAAUCAUUAAAAUCAUUUUUGAAAUUAACUUGCACAUAGCAAUUAUCAACUUAAACAUAGAAAUUGGUGAUACAGUAUUUUAAAAUGUUUACCCAUUAUUUUACAGAUCAAAAUGAUGAAAACAAGAGUCACUGAUUUUUAAAAAAAUUAUUUUUAUUAUCGUUUCCAGUAUAAAAAUCAGGGUAGACAAUUUAUAAAUUCGUUAAUAUCUACACUCAAAUUAAUUGUAUGUAUGUUACUGCAAAAUGAAAAAGUCAAUUUUGAAAUUAUCCUUUAUGAUUUUUUUGUCAUUUUCAGGGGACAAUACAUCUUUAAGGUUGUGAUAUUGUUUAUUAAUGUUGCACACUUGUUAAUAAAGCAAUCUCAUUAAUGUUUUGGUUUAUUUGUGCUCCAGAUGUGUUAACAAAUUCCUGUGAUAUAUUUCAGUAACAUUUAGUUAAUUAGCCAUACCAUCAAUGUUCUGAUAUAUUUUAUGCAUAUCCCAGAUUGGAUAAUUAGUUAACAAUAUAUUAGACUAAAUAUUUACAUAUUAAUAUAUAAUUCUAAUGUUUUUAUCCCAUACUUGUUGUUUCAGUUUUUUAAAAAAUCAUUUAUUACUGUAACAGGUUUGUGGUAUUUUUAAUAUUUUAAAAUUAAAUGUAGAUGAGAAAACCCUGUAAUAUAUGCUAGAAAUUAAAUUACCAUCUGCAGUAGUUAAAUAUGAUUUGCUUUAAUAAAAGAUGGUAGUUUAUUUGUUGUCAUAGAUUGUACAUUUUUUUUUUGGCUUCAGUAAUUAUAUUUUUUAGAAAAUGGAAUGUAAGAAGUACUGUACUUUGUCAAAUGACAUCAUAUUUUAGUAGUUGAUUUUCCAGAUUUGGUGAUGGAAAUGAGGUUACAUUUUUAAAUUGAAAGCAUUAAUGUUGCCAAUAAGUUUGUUAAAGUUACUACUAAGUAGUGUUGGUUGAAUAGAUGAUAAUAAUAAUGUAUGAAUUUA
Molecule: long non-coding RNA, 4523 nt
Organism: Anneissia japonica
Lineage: Eukaryota; Metazoa; Echinodermata; Crinoidea; Comatulida; Comatulidae
Exons: 2
Source: RefSeq, a predicted model, not a curated record